CCGUUUCUCUCCAGAUUCCGUAAACCUUGCUUAUCAACGAGUCCAGAAAGUGGACUGCACGUCUCCCAGGCCUGUGCUUAUUCUAGGGCCAUUACUUGAUGCUGUGAAGGACAUGCUAGUCAAGGAAUCUCCAGGAAAAUUUUGCCGGUGUCCUCUAGAGGUGAUGAAAGCUUCUCAACAAGCCAUCGAGCGGGGUGUGAAAGACUGUUUAUUCAUAGAUUAUAAAUGUAGGAGUGGACAUUUCGAUGUGACAACUGUUGCCUCAGUAAAGGAGAUAACAGAGAAGAGAGCAAAAAGACCCCGUCUUCCUGAGGGACAAAGUUACG
Lacerta agilis (Sand lizard) is the source of this 326-nucleotide long non-coding RNA. RefSeq lists it as uncharacterized. Lineage: Eukaryota; Metazoa; Chordata; Lepidosauria; Squamata; Lacertidae. The record is from RefSeq and is a predicted model, not a curated record. The transcript is spliced from 3 exons.